RNAcentral lists this ribosomal RNA (301 nucleotides) under uncultured bacterium. RNAcentral's name for it is "partial 16S ribosomal RNA". It matches the Rfam family "Bacterial small subunit ribosomal RNA", at positions 509 to 807 of the family's 1533-position model. The record is from RNAcentral.
CAGUCGCCGCGGGAAAACGUAGGUGGCAAGCGUUGUCCGUAAUUAUUGGGCGUAAAGGGCUCGCAGGCGGUUUCUUAAGUCUGAUGUGAAAGCCCCCGGCUCAACCGGGGAGGGUCAUUGGAAACUGGGAAACUUGAGUGCAGAAGAGGAGAGUGGAAUUCCACGUGUAGCGGUGAAAUGCGUAGAGAUGUGGAGGAACACCAGUGGCGAAGGCGACUCUCUGGUCUGUAACUGACGCUGAGGAGCGAAAGCGUGGGGAGCGAACAGGAUUAGAUACCCCUGUAGUCCCUGUCUCUUAUAC